UUGAUUACGUCCCUGCCCUUGUACACACCGCCCGUCGCUGCCCGGGACUGAGCCAUUUCGAGAAAAUCGGGGAUUGCUGAUUUCUGUUCUUUCGGGAACAGACUUUGGCGAAAACCGAUUUAAUCGCAGUGGCUUGAACCGGGCAAAAGUCGUAACAAGGUAGCUGUAGGUGAACCUGCAGCUGGAUCACUAACGAU
RNAcentral lists this ribosomal RNA (197 nucleotides) under Ditylenchus dipsaci. RNAcentral's name for it is "partial 18S ribosomal RNA". It matches the Rfam family "Eukaryotic small subunit ribosomal RNA", at positions 1641 to 1831 of the family's 1831-position model. Lineage: Eukaryota; Metazoa; Nematoda; Chromadorea; Rhabditida; Anguinidae. The record is from RNAcentral.